AACGAACGCUGGCGGCAUGCCUAACACAUGCAAGUCGAACGAGACCUUCGGGUCUUGUGGCGCACGGGUGCGUAACGCGUGGGAACCUGCCCUUAGGUUCGGAAUAACUCCCCGAAAGGGGUGCUAAUACCGGAUAAUGUCUUCGGACCAAAGAUUUAUCGCCUUUGGAUGGGCCCGCGUUGGAUUAGCUAGUUGGUAGGGUAAAAGCCUACCAAGGCGACGAUCCAUAGCUGGUCUGAGAGGAUGAUCAGCCACACUGGGACUGAGACACGGCCCAGACUCCUACGAGAGGCAGCAGUGGGGAAUAUUGGACAAUGAGCGAGAGCCUGAUCCAGCAAGGCCGCGUGAGUGAUGAAGGCCUUAGGGUUGUAAAGCUCUUUUACCCGGGAUGAUAAUGACAGUACCGGGAGAAUAAGCUCCGGCUAACUCCGU
This 432-nucleotide ribosomal RNA is filed under the name uncultured bacterium. RNAcentral's name for it is "partial 16S ribosomal RNA". It matches the Rfam family "Bacterial small subunit ribosomal RNA", at positions 29 to 506 of the family's 1533-position model. The record is from RNAcentral.